This 493-nucleotide ribosomal RNA is filed under the name uncultured bacterium. RNAcentral describes it as "partial 16S ribosomal RNA". It matches the Rfam family "Bacterial small subunit ribosomal RNA", at positions 29 to 523 of the family's 1533-position model. The record is from RNAcentral.
AUUGAACGCUGGCGGCAUGCUUUACACAUGCAAGUCGAACGGUAACAGGUUAAGCUGACGAGUGGCGAACGGGUGAGUAAUGCAUCGGAACGUGCCCGGUCGUGGGGGAUAACGCAGCGAAAGCUGCGCUAAUACCGCAUACGAUCUGAGGAUGAAAGCGGGGGACGGUAAGGCCUCGCGCGAUCGGAGCGGCCGAUGUCAGAUUAGGUAGUUGGUGGGGUAAAGGCUCCCCAAGCCAACGAUCUGUAGCUGGUCUGAGAGGACGACCAGCCACACUGGGACUGAGACACGGCCCAGACUCCUACGGGAGGCAGCAGUGGGGAAUUUUGGACAAUGGGCGAAAGCCUGAUCCAGCAAUGCCGCGUGCAGGAAGAAGGCCUUCGGGUUGUAAACUGCUUUUGUACGGAGCGAAAAGGUCUCCUCUAAUACAGGGGGCUCAUGACGGUACCGUAAGAAUAAGCACCGGCUAACUACGUGCCAGCCGCCGCGGUAA